Molecule: non-coding RNA, 92 nt
Organism: Extremus antarcticus
Lineage: Eukaryota; Fungi; Ascomycota; Dothideomycetes; Mycosphaerellales; Extremaceae
Source: the annotation of a GenBank genome assembly
UCCGAUGUGGUCUAGUGGCUAGGAUUUCUCGCUCUCAUGGUCGUCAGACCUAAAGUGCCGAGGAGGCCGGGGUUCGAUUCCCCGCAUCGGAA